UUAGCGGCUAUUGUCAGUAAUGAUAAUAGAAAACCCCUUGAAUUCAGGGGAAGUCUCAUUGAGAUAAUCCUGAGCGAAACCUAUGCUAAUUAGCAGAAUGUUCAAACUAUGUCAGAGUUAAAAUCUGGUAACUGUUAUGAACAAGGGACGUGCAAAGACCAUCCAGAAAUGGAGUAGAGUCAAGCGACUCGAAGCGGGGGGAAUCCUUCUUACAUAAGUUAAGGAUUGUGAUAUGGUCUGUUCUAUUCGGCGACGGGUAG
RNAcentral lists this non-coding RNA (260 nucleotides) under Limnospira indica PCC 8005. RNAcentral describes it as "Intron_gpI". It matches the Rfam family "Group I catalytic intron". From Rfam's summary of the family: Group I catalytic introns are large self-splicing ribozymes. They catalyse their own excision from mRNA, tRNA and rRNA precursors in a wide range of organisms. Lineage: Bacteria; Bacillati; Cyanobacteriota; Cyanophyceae; Oscillatoriales; Sirenicapillariaceae. The record is from RNAcentral.